RNAcentral lists this transfer RNA (66 nucleotides) under Actinomyces denticolens. It matches the Rfam family "tRNA", at positions 5 to 66 of the family's 71-position model. Rfam says of the family: Transfer RNA (tRNA) molecules are approximately 80 nucleotides in length. Their secondary structure includes four short double-helical elements and three loops (D, anti-codon, and T loops). Lineage: Bacteria; Bacillati; Actinomycetota; Actinomycetes; Actinomycetales; Actinomycetaceae. The record is from RNAcentral.
CAGUAGCUCAACGGAUAGAGCAGCUGACUACGGAUCAGCAGGUUGGGGGUUCGAAUCCCUUCUGGC